GCCCUCCUACGGGGCGCAGCAGUGAGGAAUAUUGGUCAAUGGCCGAGAGGCUGAACCAGCCAAGUCGCGUGAGGGAUGACGGCCCUACGGGUUGUAAACCUCUUUUGUCGGGGAGCAAGACCCGCCUCGUGCAGGCGCAUCGAGAGUACCCGGAGAAAAAGCAUCGGCUAACUCCGUGCCAGCAGCCGCGGUAAUACGGAGGAUGCGAGCGUUAUCCGGAUUUAUUGGGUUUAAAGGGUGCGCAGGCGGCGAGUUAAGUCAGCGGUAAAAUUUCGGGGCUCAACCCCGACGAGC
This 294-nucleotide ribosomal RNA is filed under the name uncultured bacterium. RNAcentral describes it as "partial 16S ribosomal RNA". It matches the Rfam family "Bacterial small subunit ribosomal RNA", at positions 333 to 624 of the family's 1533-position model. The record is from RNAcentral.